UUAUUAUUGUGUUCAAUGUGUGCCACCAAACCUGAUGUUUUCUUAUUUGAUCUAACGGGUUGGUGGGUCGUUGUUAUGAGAGAGACAGAGACAGAGAAUGACUACCUACAUAAAAAUGGAAGCUGAUGCAGGUUUUUCUUGUAAUUGUAGUUUUAAAAGUAAUCUUUUGUUUCUGGAGUUUCUUGUAUUAUCAGUUGAAAGUUCAUUUUCUACUUUUAUAUAGAUAUUAAAUAUAAUCAAUGCAGGCCUCAAGAGUUUCUUAUAGUUGUUGCUUUAGAAGUGACUUUCUUUUAUUUAAUGAACUGUUGGCCAAAUUUCCAAAAUUCUGUUGUAUUUAAGCUGUUACCAAUUUUGUUUUACUUCUAGCUUCAUUGAGAGAGAUAAUGGAAUAAUGGGGAAGCAAGGAUCCCCGAGAAGUCCUCGUCCUGAAUUAUCUCUUGGGACAAAAGAUUAUCAGAUUAGAAGUUUGGAAAGUUUGCCAUCCAAUGAUCCUUCCAUUGGAAGGAGAUAUUCUGGGGGAGAUAAUAAUUGGAAGACCAAAGUUGUCUUGCUUGGUGGUUUGAAAAAUGAGUACGGGAAGCUUGGUUCUAAGGGAGUUUAUGUUGGGAAAAGGCAUACAUGGUUUCGUAAACACAUUGGAUCAAUUGCUUUUAUGUUUGCAUUGAUUUGCUUUCUUUUCCUGCUUGAUUCUUUCAUGAUGUCGAUUUUUGAUUCAAUAAAUGUUCAAAAUGGUUCAACUUCGAGCAAAUCAAGUGGUCUUACGGUAUGAUUUCUUAUUUUGUAAAGAACUGGUGCAUUCCAUUUUUGAGGUAGUAUUGAAUGUUACACAAACUAUUGAUUUGAAACUUUUUGGUGUUGGGAACCGGAAGUUGAAUCAAUCAUUUAGCGAUUUAGAUGAUUACAACUAUUGAAUUUGGAUUGAGCUGCAAUAAUGUAGUAUUUAGCCCUAUUCUAUCAUUUGCAGUUUACAGUUUGUGGUGCAUUGCCUUUGGAUUCCAAAUCUGCAUGUUCAAACUGUUCUGUGCUUAGCCAAGAAACUUUCUAUCUACUGGGGAAUGUUUCGAUCCAACACAAUUCAAAAUAAAUUGUCAUUUUUUUUUUCUUUUUGCAAGUGAAUAAUUUCUUUACUAAAUGAACUUUCUGCAAAUAAGCAGAUUACGACUUUUUCUUUCUCCAUUAGUUAUGUGAAUAUAUUACAUUAGGUCUUAAAUGUUCCUUGUAGCUCUAUGUAAGGGAAAUUGUAUAUAUAAGGAAUGUUGAAUGGCAAAUUUCUCUUUCUUUUAGCAAAAGCACGGGGCAAGAAAUUAACUAGUAUAAUUUGUAUGCAAGUAGUAUGCAAAGGAGGAUAAGACUACUUACUCUAAAGAAGAAAAACCACCCGUCCAGAUGUAUGGUCGGCUCCUGAACUUGGCUUCUAAUGCCCUUGCAGAGGUUAGCUUUAAAAGUUCUAAACUUAGUAUGUAUAGAAGCUUGUUGCAUUCAAGGGCAUACAUCUGAAAUUUUACUCUGCUUUAGAAAGAGUUCAAGCAAGAAAAAUCAAAUUUCUGGGAGGAACAAUAUCAGAAGGCAUCUGUAUGGAAACCUUGUGCAGAAAAAAAGGAUUCAGAAAGUUUAGGUAACUGGACUUUUUGAUUCCUGUUUGACUCAUGAGAAUUAUAUUAACUACCAUUUACUCUAUGAUAGCUCACAUUGACAGUAUUAAGUCCCUGAAAAUGAAAUGACAAAAAGCAGUAUGAUAAACCUAUUAAAUAUUGUGUUGAGACAGGGAAACCUGACAAAAGCAAUGGCUAUUUGAUGGUCAGUGCAAAUGGUGGUCUCAAUCAACAAAGAGUCGCUAUAUGCAAUGCUGUUGCCUUGGCAUCUUUGCUUAAUGCAACUCUUGUUCUUCCAAGAUUUCUUUACAGCAAUGUAUGGAAGGAUCCUAGCCAAUUUGGAGAUAUCUACCAAGAGAAGUAUUUUAUGAAGAUCAUGAAGGAUGACGUAAAUAUCAUAAAGGAGCUUCCUUCUCACUUGAAAUCCUUGGAUAUUGAAGCAAUUGGUAGCCUUAUUACUGAUUCUGAUAUUGUGAAGGAGGCAAAGCCUAGUGAUUACCUUCAAAAAGUACUUCCUCUAUUGUUGCGGAAUGGAGUUGUUCACUUUCUUGGAUUUGGAAAUCGACUUGGCUUUGAUCCAAUGCCUUUUCAACUUCAGAGACUAAGGUGCAAAUGUAACUUUCAUGCGUUAAAGUUUGUGCCAAAAAUUCAACAAGUUGGUUCACUGUUGAUCAAAAGAAUAAGGAAGUAUGAUUUUGCACAAAGUAUGUUAGACAAGCAACUGCUUGGAGAUUUCAUGCCUAGCAGUGCCUCGAAGAUGAAUGAUCCAACAAGAAGGCCAUCUAGAUAUCUUGCUUUGCACUUGAGGUUUGAAGUGGACAUGAUUGCCUAUUCCUUAUGUGAAUUUGGAGGAGGAGAAGAUGAGAAAAGAGAACUUAAAGCCUACAGGGAAAGCCAUUUCCCUCUGCUCAUUGAACGGUUGAAGAACUCCAAGCCUAUCUCUCCAUCAGAAUUAAGAAAGUUAGGAAGAUGCCCAUUGACACCAGAAGAAGCUGCCCUUGUUCUCACUGGUCUUGGGUUUAAACGCGGAACUCAUAUUUAUCUUGCUGGGUCCCAUAUGCAUGGUGGAGAAUCUAGGAUGUAUCCGUUCACCAGCCUCUACCCUAAUUUAGUCACAAAGGAGACUCUCCUCACAGCCAGUGAACUUGCACCUUUUAGGAAUUUCUCUUCACAGAUGGCAGCAUUGGACUUUAUUGCUUGUGCAACUUCUGAUGUCUUUGCCAUGACUGAUUCUGGGAGUCAACUAUCAUCCCUAGUGUCUGGUUUCCGGACUUACUACGGUGGUGGACAUGCCCCAAACUUGAGGCCUAACAAGAAGAGGCUAGCAGCAAUUUUGUCAGAGAAUAGCACCAUAGGAUGGAAUAGUUUUGAAGAUAGAGUAAGAAAGAUGAUUGAAGAAGGUCAAAGGGUGCGCAUUAGGGGCUUUGGUCGAAGCAUUUAUCGACAACCAAGGUGCCCUGAAUGCAUGUGUAAAUCAUGAUACACGCCCUUUCAUUGUUUUGAAAUUCAUUUGCAUCAGCAAACAAUGCAGCAUCCUAAUGUUAAUAAUGCUAUUGCUGAUUGGCUGGUAUCAUCAUUCAUUUGUUCAAUUGAGUUCAUUGAGUUCAUUCCCUCUCAUUUGUUAUUUCUUCGAUUGAAUAAACUUGUACCACUGUAAUUUAGUCCAAUUUCUGAUGCAAUGAAUAUUUUGAUGUCCAAUUACCUGUUACUAGAAGUAUAUUCAUAUUUGCAGCAGGUAUGUCCAAUUGCCCAUGACAAGAGACAAUAACUUGUUGAAUGAAUAAGGAAUUGAAGCAAAACCAAGCAAAACCAUUUCUCUGCAAGAAAAACAUUUGGAUUUUUACACUGUUCUUCAUUGGAGCUGCAAUCACCGCGUUAUCCUUAUCUGGAAAUGAUGUUUUUCCUAACAUUUUUCUCUGGUGAUUGAGCCACUUCACGAUGGAGGGAAGAAACGAUUUAGGUUGAAAGGAAGGGUGUAGAACUCCUCAUUCCUGCUGUCUCCAUUAAAUGACCGGAAUCUCACCCACCAUGUCAUUCCUCUAUCACUAGCACUGUGCUUGUAGUCAAGUGUGUUGUCCAAGAACACAGCAACAAUCAAAGCAACAGUUGGGGAUGAGAAGAAGAUGGUAUUCAAAAAAUCAUUGAACCAUCCAGCUCUUGUAUGAGCAGGACCAUGAAAGGCCUUUGCUGUGUAUUCUCUGAAGUAUUCAGGGACAGACAAACCAAGAAAGAAUGCAACACCGGUGAUGAAAAGAUUUCUCAUUGAGUUCAUAUUUGUGAAUUGCAAAAAUGAUAACCCCACUGAAGCAACAAGACCAAACAAAACACAAUACACUGCAGCAAAUAUGGGGAAGGGUAUUGAUGCAAAUAAAGCUCCAAAUUUUCCUAGCAUUGAGAAAAAUAUCAUAAAACCGGCUGAGAUUUGGAUAACUCUGCGGCUGCCAACACGAGUACUCCCAAGCAGCCCCACAUUUUCUACAGAGACUGUUGAACCACUCAAUGUUCCGAAGAGUCCAUCCAGUAAAAUUCCUAUCCCCUGCCAGCCAAUUCCACGGCUGAGCACAUGAGCUGGAGGUGGUGUGGCACUUGCUAGACGUGAUGCAGCAUUGUAUGCACCAGUUGACUCAAUAAGUGAGACUAUUACAGCAGCCAUCAUUCCAAAACAAUGACCAGCAUCAAAAGUGGGAGCACCCCACUGAAGAGGAUAUGGGAUCUUUAUCCAUGGAGCGGAAGAAAUGAGAUACGCCUUGUCAGUUCGACAAUUAACUUGGGUAAGCUCUGGACUAUGUUUGUAUGCACCACUGGCUGUCAAGAGAUGUGCAUAUGCCCAUAUCACUGUGACAGAUAUAAGGACAGCAAAUCGCUCAAGUAUUGGUAGUUGUCUUGUCUGAAAGUUCUUUAAGUACUGGGAGAAGGUUAUGAAUAGGAUAAGCAUGGGAAUGCCAAUCUCUACGCACCGCCCGACCACAGGGAAGCCUCUAUCAAACAGGCCAAAACCCACUAAUGAAAUGACUGGAACCAUUCCAAGCGGACUGAAAAACCUGGAACAAAUUGCCCACAAUUGGCUGUACCCCAAAAUGAUCUGUAUACUUGAUGAUACUAUUAGAGCACCUUGGACUGCUCUCAUGGUGUUGAGAAAUCUCACGUGAUUGUCUUGAAUGCUCAUCAAGGAAGGGUCGUGAAUGAUUGAUAUGAUUGGGACCAUAAAUGCAUAUGACCCUCCAAUCACGGUGGGUAAACGCGUCCCGAAUAGUGUCUGCAGAAGUGUAUUGAUCCCCUCGACAAACAGCAGAGUCUGCACCACCCUCACUUUAUCACCAUGAUCACCACCCAUCAAAGGAACAAGAAAUGAAGGGAUCAUAACAGCAGUUCCUAAUGCCAAAAUGUAAUGCUGGAAACCCAGAGCUAUAGCUUCUCCCCAAGAUGGGUUGGAGUCAAUACAGUACUCUAAACCUUGAAGUUGGUCCAUUGGUGGGUGACUUAUCUCUUCUGGUUUUGGAGCUGCCAUCGCCUCUACCUAUUACCUUCUUCAAAACUCUUGUUAAGCCUCUAAACUCAAAUGGUUUAUGCUUCUAAAUGAAUCAAAAAAUAGACAGAUACAGAUACACAGAGGGAGAAAAGAGAGAGAAGUCCUCUCAAGGUCUUUGCAGGUUAUCAAAACCAAUGCAAUUUGAAAGUGAAAGAUAAAGCAGAAAAGUUUAAAUAAAGAAGGAAGAAGAAAGUAAGGAGAGUGAGAGAGAAAUUAAUGAGAAAAAAAUUGGCACUUGCCGCCCACUAAAUUUGGCUUUGUGCAGAGUUUUUAUCUCCCUAUCGUGUCUAUGCG
Molecule: unclassified non-coding RNA, 5415 nt
Filed under: Hevea brasiliensis (rubber tree)
Lineage: Eukaryota; Viridiplantae; Streptophyta; Magnoliopsida; Malpighiales; Euphorbiaceae
Source: RNAcentral